This 496-nucleotide ribosomal RNA is filed under the name uncultured bacterium. RNAcentral's name for it is "partial 16S ribosomal RNA". It matches the Rfam family "Bacterial small subunit ribosomal RNA", at positions 29 to 507 of the family's 1533-position model. The record is from RNAcentral.
AUGAACGCUGGCGGCGUGCCUAAUACAUGCAAGUCGUGCGAACAGACGAGGAGCUUGCUCCUCUGACGUUAGCGGCGGACGGGUGAGUAACACGUGGAUAACCUACCUAUAAGACUGGGAUAACUUCGGGAAACCGGAGCUAAUACCGGAUAAUAUAUUGAACCGCAUGGUUCAAUAGUGAAAGACGGUUUUGCUGUCACUUAUAGAUGGAUCCGCGCCGCAUUAGCUAGUUGGUAAGGUAACGGCUUACCAAGGCGACGAUGCGUAGCCGACCUGAGAGGGUGAUCGGCCACACUGGAGCUGAGACACGGUCCAGACUCCUACGGGAGGCAGCAGUAGGGAAUCUUCCGCAAUGGGCGAAAGCCUGACGGAGCAACGCCGCGUGAGUGAUGAAGGUCUUCGGAUCGUAAAACUCUGUUAUUAGGGAAGAACAAAUGUGUAAGUAACUAUGCACGUCUUGACGGUACCUAAUCAGAAAGCCACGGCUAACUACGUG